UGGGGGAUAUUGCACAAUGGGGGGAACCCUGAUGCAGCGACGCCGCGUGAGUGAAGAAGUAUUUCGGUAUGUAAAGCUCUAUCAGCAGGGAAGAUGAUGACGGUACCUGACUAAGAAGCCCCGGCUAACUACGUGCCAGCAGCCGCGGUAAUACGUAGGGGGCAAGCGUUAUCCGGAUUUACUGGGUGUAAAGGGAGCGCAGGCGGUGCGGCAAGUCUGAUGUGAAAACCCCAGGCUCAACCUGGGGAGUGCAUUGGAAACUGUCGGACUGGAGUGUGGGAGAGGCAGGCGGAAUUCCUAGUGUAGCGGUGAAAUGCGUAGAUAUUAGGAGGAACACCAGUGGCGAAGGCGGCCUGCUGGACCAAGACUGACGCUGAGGCUCGAAAGCGUGGGGAGCAAACAGG
Molecule: ribosomal RNA, 404 nt
Filed under: uncultured bacterium
Lineage: Bacteria
Description: bacterial SSU rRNA
Rfam family: Bacterial small subunit ribosomal RNA
Source: RNAcentral